This 484-nucleotide long non-coding RNA is filed under the name Jatropha curcas. Its description in RNAcentral is "long non-coding RNA (JCUR_LNC001224)". Lineage: Eukaryota; Viridiplantae; Streptophyta; Magnoliopsida; Malpighiales; Euphorbiaceae. The record is from RNAcentral.
UGACUGCGUGUGUUGUGCAAUAAUUAUUAUUCCUUAAAAAACUCACAUGUCUUGUUUAAUUUUUCAGGAAGUAAGUUUCUCUUUAAUUCGGUAUAAGCUAUGUUUCUUCACCGCAGGGCUAUAAAGAAAUUUUCCUAGUUCUAUAAUUAUUUUACUAUGUAAUUAUAUGUAUAAAAAGCUAUGUAUACCAAAUAGUUAGUGACUCCGCAGUUGUAGAAUUUACUUACACUUAGUCGUGUAUUAUCAUAGACGAAAUGAUUCUGUGAGCCUAUAUUAGAAAUGUGAUGUAUUGUAAAUUGGGCCCGAACUGUGGAAUUUUGUAGAAGAUAAAUUUGGGCUAAGAUGAAAUAAAAUCUUGAGGUUUAUUUUUUUAGUAAUAUGGGCUGAAUAUUUGAAAUUUAUAUUGAGAUAGCAAAUUUUAGUGUUUCAGGCUUACUACGGGCCUCGGGAGCCUUAAGCUUACCUGGGCCCUAGUGCCGGUCCG